This 112-nucleotide ribosomal RNA is filed under the name Chrysemys picta bellii (western painted turtle). Lineage: Eukaryota; Metazoa; Chordata; Testudines; Emydidae. The record is from RNAcentral.
GCUUGCAGCCAGCAGUCAUGUGCUGUGAUCAUCAGAUCUCAGACUAAGCAGGAAUGGGCAAAAUCAGAACUUGGUUGGGAGAUCUUCAAGAAAAACUCUGGUGCUGCAAGAA